AGGGUGCAAGCGUUAAUCGGAAUUACUGGGCGUAAAGCGCGCGUAGGUGGUUUGUUAAGUCAGAUGUGAAAUCCCCGGGCUCAACCUGGGAACUGCAGUUGAAACUGGCGAGCUAGAGUAGGGUAGAGGGGKGUGGAAUUCCAGGUGUACCGGUGAAAUGCGUAGAUAUAUGAAGGAACAUCAGUGGCGAAGGCGACCCCCUGGACUCAUACUGACACUGAGGUGCGAAAGCGUGGGGAGCAAACAGGAAUAGAUACCCUGGUAGUCCACGCCGUAAACGAUGUCUACUAGCCGUUGGGAUCCUUGAGCUCUUAGUGGCGCAGCUAACGCAAUAAGUUGACCGCCUGGGGAGUACGGCCGCAAGGUUAAAACUCAAAUGAAUUGACGGGGGCCCGCACAAGCGGUGGAGCAUGGGUUUAAUUCGACUCAACGCGAAGAACCUACCAGGUCCUGACACCAGAGAACUGCCAGGAGAUAGCUUCGUGCCUUCGGGAA
RNAcentral lists this ribosomal RNA (495 nucleotides) under uncultured Cellvibrio sp. RNAcentral describes it as "bacterial SSU rRNA". It matches the Rfam family "Bacterial small subunit ribosomal RNA", at positions 529 to 1024 of the family's 1533-position model. Lineage: Bacteria; Pseudomonadati; Pseudomonadota; Gammaproteobacteria; Cellvibrionales; Cellvibrionaceae. The record is from RNAcentral.